AUUCCUCCUCUGCCUUUUGGCUAAGAUCAAGUGUAGUAUCUGUUCUCAUCAGUUUAAUAUCUGAUAGUUCUGUUUUUUCCAGCAUGGCCGCAUGGUCCCGACCCCCU
Molecule: small nuclear RNA, 107 nt
Organism: Esox lucius (northern pike)
Lineage: Eukaryota; Metazoa; Chordata; Actinopteri; Esociformes; Esocidae
Gene: U2
Rfam family: U2 spliceosomal RNA
About the family: U2 is a small nuclear RNA (snRNA) component of the spliceosome (involved in pre-mRNA splicing). Complementary binding between U2 snRNA (in an area lying towards the 5' end but 3' to hairpin I) and the branchpoint sequence (BPS) of the intron results the bulging out of an unpaired adenosine, on the BPS, which initiates a nucleophilic attack at the intronic 5' splice site, thus starting the first of two transesterification reactions that mediate splicing.
Source: Ensembl